UGAAGCCAAGCUUGCUUGGUGGAUCAGUGGCGAACGGGUGAGUAACACGUGAGCAACCUGCCCUGGACUCUGGGAUAAGCGCUGGAAACGGCGUCUAAUACUGGAUAUGAGCCCCUAUCGCAUGGUGGGGGUUGGAAAGAUUUUUUGGUCUGGGAUGGGCUCGCGGCCUAUCAGCUUGUUGGUGAGGUAAUGGCUCACCAAGGCGUCGACGGGUAGCCGGCCUGAGAGGGUGACCGGCCACACUGGGACUGAGACACGGCCCAGACUCCUACGGGAGGCAGCAGUGGGGAAUAUUGCACAAUGGGCGAAAGCCUGAUGCAGCAACGCCGCGUGAGGGAUGACGGCCUUCGGGUUGUAAACCUCUUUUAGCAGGGAAGAAGCGAAAGUGACGGUACCUGCAGAAAAAGCGCCGGCUAACUACGUGCCAGCAGCCGCGGUAAUACGUAGGGCGCAAGCGUUAUCCGGAAUUAUUGGGCGUAAAGAGCUCGUAGGCGGUUUGUCGCGUCUGCUGUGAAAUCCCGAGGCUCAACCUCGGGCCUGCAGUGGGUACGGGCAGACUAGAGUGCGGUAGGGGAGAUUGGAAUUCCUGGUGUAGCGGUGGAAUGCGCAGAUAUCAGGAGGAACACCGAUGGCGAAGGCAGAUCUCUGGGCCGUAACUGACGCUGAGGAGCGAAAGGGUGGGGAGCAAACAGGCUUAGAUACCCUGGUAGUCCACCCCGUAAACGUUGGGAACUAGUUGUGGGGACCAU
RNAcentral lists this ribosomal RNA (749 nucleotides) under Microbacterium aurantiacum. RNAcentral's name for it is "partial 16S ribosomal RNA". It matches the Rfam family "Bacterial small subunit ribosomal RNA", at positions 70 to 832 of the family's 1533-position model. Lineage: Bacteria; Bacillati; Actinomycetota; Actinomycetes; Micrococcales; Microbacteriaceae. The record is from RNAcentral.